RNAcentral lists this ribosomal RNA (403 nucleotides) under uncultured bacterium. RNAcentral describes it as "partial 16S ribosomal RNA". It matches the Rfam family "Bacterial small subunit ribosomal RNA", at positions 30 to 526 of the family's 1533-position model. The record is from RNAcentral.
AUUGAACGCUGGCGGCAGGCCUAACACAUGCAAGUCGAGCGGGCGGCGGGCGGGUGAGGUAUGUAUGGGGGCUGCCCGCUAGGGGGGGAUACCUACUGGCGACGGUAACUCAUACCGCAUAUUAUCGGAUCACCCCUAUGGGAUUAGCUAGUAGGUGAGGUAAUGGCUCACCUAGGCGACGAUCCCUAGCUGGUCUGAGAGGAUGAUCAGCCACACUGGGACUGAGACACGGCCCAGACUCCUACGGAGGCAGCAGUGGGGAAUAUUGGACAAGGGGCGCAAGCCUGAUGCAGCCAUGCCGCGUGUAUGAAGAAGGCCUUAGGGUUGUAAAGUACUUUCAGUAGGGAGGCGUUACCGGCAGAAGAAGCACCGGCUAACUCCGUGCCAGCAGCCGCGGUAAUUC